Molecule: transfer RNA, 70 nt
Filed under: Taenia arctos
Lineage: Eukaryota; Metazoa; Platyhelminthes; Cestoda; Cyclophyllidea; Taeniidae
Description: tRNA-Trp
Source: RNAcentral
GUGAGAUUAAGUUAUAUCAGACUAAGUGUUUUCAAAACAUUAAGUGGCUUAUUGUUUUAGUCAUCUUGCG